Molecule: long non-coding RNA, 2082 nt
Organism: Oreochromis niloticus (Nile tilapia)
Lineage: Eukaryota; Metazoa; Chordata; Actinopteri; Cichliformes; Cichlidae
Exons: 2
Source: RefSeq, a predicted model, not a curated record
GUGUCGGCAUUUCUUCAAAGCACCUGCCUCCCAUAUUUAAAGAUCAACGCACUCAAACUACACUCUGAUUCUUUGUGUUUUUGAUGAUGUUCAGGUUGUCACUGGUUCAUUAGUAUUUUUUAGUUUUUUAGUAGAUUGGCAUAGGAGGGGGCAUAUCUGUUCCCUCCACCUGCAGGUACCGAUUCCCAUUAAAUUGCAUCUCAAGCAAAGCUCUAAAAGCUGUAAUAUCUCCUCAUCUGGUCUCUGGGCAUUUGGGUUUCAACUGAAGACAUUUUGUACUGUGUUCAAACCUAAGUCUGUACUAAUGUUCGUGUACAGGCUCUCGAUGUCGAUCGUAAACAACAGAGCAUUGCUGGGUAGCACUAUUUGUCUGACAACCUCCAAAAAGUGAUAAGUGUCUUUCAGGUAGCUCGGAUGUUUGGUGGAGAGGGGGCCCAAGAAGUGGUCUAUAUACAGAGAGACAUUCUCCCUAAUUACUUCCUCCCAUCCCCCCGUUUACUACUGGAAGAAAUCGAUGAAAAAUAUGAAUGUCUGACUGUAUGAGUUCCCUCACCUCACCACUAACCUGCUCCCAUGUUGGCUCCCAGUGAGAUGGUAAGGUAAAUUUUGCCUCUGUAUUAGUUUUAUUUUUAUUAUUGUAUUGUGAAAAAUAAUCCAUGAGUUUAAUUCUGCUGUGAUAUAAAUGGAGAUCCCUCGGUAUGUAAAUUAGUCCGUUCUGUGGGGCGAAACAAUUCAGAUAAAUUUAAUACAUUAUUUGGUACCAAUCACACAGAAUCACUCAAAUCAAAUACUGACAGCAUUCACACAGUUAAAAUCACUCAAUAUGCUUUCAUACAAGUAUUUUGGACAUGCUGUUCAUAAUCAGAAAGAGCAAGUCAAAGAUUAACAAUUGAAACCUCUAAUCACUCUCACAGCACACACAAAAAUGGAAACUAGUUCUUUAUGCUUUUGGACUGGAUUGGCUCGCUACAAUCCUUUUAGUCCGGAAAUUUUUUACAGCGCUGUUAUUCACUCUUGCAGGCCUGCUUAGAACAAAAAUGAGAAAAAGAGAGCUGAUUAUUAGCUCAUCAAAACACAAAACAAAAUCACCUGACAGGAUUUCUAAGUGCACUGUUACCAUUUUAAAGUGCCCAAUUCUAGACAUGUCCAUGUUUAAUAAAACUUCCUCUAUUAAAAUAAAAACAAAAAACAAUAGAGGUAGUAGACAACACCCAGUAACUGCGUCUGUCCUUUUACAAGAGAAGAAAAAUAAACCCAUAUCGGACAAUUCUCCCCAUCUUAGACAAAAUCUGACCAUAAAUGUCCUUUUCUAAGUCAUGUUCUUCUCUUCACACAACUCUUGGCCUCCAAGGCAUAAACUUUGGACUUAUAACCGUCAUAUAAGUCCUCACAGCGCACCAAGCAUGGAGAAAACUCAACCUCAGUGCUUCAAAAUUCUCACACAAGACUCAAAAACUGUUUCUGUCAUUUAUCUGCCCAAGGACUUCAUCAAAUGGACCUCGCUUGGUCCAGUAAUCUUCAGCACAUGUAUAUCACUGCCGCCAGUGCUGAUUUAAAAACAGUUUCUUGUCUCAAUGCACCCAGUAUUAACUUAUCACAUGGACUGCAGCCGAUCCAUCAAUAUCAACACAAUUGUGUAUCCCCAUGUACACAACUUAUUCUUCACUUGUAUCACAGCACAUCUAGUAAUAUUUUCACAAUUACUUCAACAUGGUAAACAUUGAUUUUCCUUUAAAAUCAAUUUACCAUUAGAACUCAAGAUCACAGCUGACUCGAUUCUCUGAAAUCCUGAGUCAGUUAAACACCUUGCUCAACUCAAGGUGUCCUUUUCUCGGACUUCCUCGUCCGAACUCACUCUUUUUACCCCGGCAUCUCACCAUUUGCUGCUUUCCUUUGUAGCCUGCUGCUUACUUGACAGCCUCAUCUGCUUUCUGGUUCCCUUGUGCCACCAAUGUGGUUGCUUGAGAGUAUCCUUUGCAUUUUAUGAUACUGACCUCGUUUGGGUCAUCCAGGACCUUUUCCAGUCCUCCCAUUUCUUUCUUCUUUGAAAUGUGAGCAUUUGUUGCCGCUCUGAAGCCUGCU